GCUGAUGCGUUGUUGGGUAGGGGAGCGUUCUGUAAGCCUGCGAAGGUGACCUGUGAGGGUUGCUGGAGGUAUCAGAAGUGCGAAUGCUGACAUAAGUAACGAUAAAGCGGGUGAAAAGCCCGCUCGCCGGAAGACCAAGGGUUCCUGUCCAACGUUAAUCGGGGCAGGGUGAGUCGACCCCUAAGGCGAGGCCGAAAGGCGUAGUCGAUGGGAAACGGGUUAAUAUUCCCGUACUUGGUGUUACUGCGAAGGGGGGACGGAGAAGGCUAUGUUGGCCGGGCGACGGUUGUCCCGGUUUAAGCGUGUAGGUGUGUGUUCCAGGUAAAUCCGGUUCACUUUAACACUGAGGCGUGAUGACGAGGCACUACGGUGCUGAAGCAACAAAUGCCCUGCUUCCAGGAAAAGCCUCUAAGCAUCAGGUAACAUCAAAUCGUACCCCAAACCGACACAGGUGGUCAGGUAGAGAAUACCAAGGCGCUUGAGAGAACUCGGGUGAAGGAACUAGGCAAAAUGGUGCCGUAACUUCGGGAGAAGGCACGCUGACACGUAGGUGAAGUGAUUUACUCACGGAGCUGAAGUCAGUCGAAGAUACCAGCUGGCUGCAACUGUUUAUUAAAAACACAGCACUGUGCAAACACGAAAGUGGACGUAUACGGUGUGACGCCUGCCCGGUGCCGGAAGGUUAAUUGAUGGGGUCAGCGCAAGCGAAGCUCCUGAUCGAAGCCCCGGUAAACGGCGGCCGUAACUAUAACGGUCCUAAGGUAGCGAAAUUCCUUGUCGGGUAAGUUCCGACCUGCACGAAUGGCGUAAUGAUGGCCAGGCUGUCUCCACCCGAGACUCAGUGAAAUUGAACUCGCUGUGAAGAUGCAGUGUACCCGCGGCAAGACGGAAAGACCCCGUGAACCUUUACUAUAGCUUGACACUGAACAUUGAGCCUUGAUGUGUAGGAUAGGUGGGAGGCUUUGAAGUGUGGACGCCAGUCUGCAUGGAGCCGACCUUGAAAUACCACCCUUUAAUGUUUGAUGUUCUAACGUGGACCCGUAAUCCGGGUUGCGGACAGUGUCUGGUGGGUAGUUUGACUGGGGCGGUCUCCUCCUAAAGAGUAACGGAGGAGCACGAAGGUUGGCUAAUCCUGGUCGGACAUCAGGAGGUUAGUGCAAUGGCAUAAGCCAGCUUGACUGCGAGCGUGACGGCGCGAGCAGGUGCGAAAGCAGGUCAUAGUGAUCCGGUGGUUCUGAAUGGAAGGGCCAUCGCUCAACGGAUAAAAGGUACUCCGGGGAUAACAGGCUGAUACCGCCCAAGAGUUCAUAUCGACGGCGGUGUUUGGCACCUCGAUGUCGGCUCAUCACAUCCUGGGGCUGAAGUAGGUCCCAAGGGUAUGGCUGUUCGCCAUUUAAAGUGGUACGCGAGCUGGGUUUAGAACGUCGUGAGACAGUUCGGUCCCUAUCUGCCGUGGGCGCUGGAGAACUGAGGGGGGCUGCUCCUAGUACGAGAGGACCGGAGUGGACGCAUCACUGGUGUUCGGGUUGUCAUGCCAAUGGCACUGCCCGGUAGCUAAAUGCGGAAGAGAUAAGUGCUGAAAGCAUCUAAGCACGAAACUUGCCCCGAGAUGAGUUCUCCCUGAGACUUUAGGUCUCCUGAAGGAACGUUGAAGACGACGACGUUGAUAGGCCGGGUGUGUAAGCGCAGCGAUGCGUUGAGCUAACCGGUACUAAUGAACCGUGAGGCUUAACCUUACAACGCCGAAG
Molecule: ribosomal RNA, 1748 nt
Filed under: Salmonella enterica subsp. enterica serovar Typhimurium
Lineage: Bacteria; Pseudomonadati; Pseudomonadota; Gammaproteobacteria; Enterobacterales; Enterobacteriaceae
Description: partial 23S ribosomal RNA
Rfam family: Bacterial large subunit ribosomal RNA
Source: RNAcentral